CCUACGGGAGGCAGCAGUGAGGAAUAUUGGUCAAUGGCCGGAAGGCUGAACCAGCCAUGCCGCGUGAAGGGCAGGGACCUAGGGGCGGGAAACUUCUUUUGGGCGGGAGCAAGAAUGGUCACGUGGGGCCAGACGAGAGUACCGUACGAAUAAGCAGCGGCGAACUCCGUGCCAGCAGCCGCGGUAAUACGGGGGAUGCAAGCGUUAUCCGGAUUUCUUGGGUUUAAAGGGUGCGUAGGCGGUGAGGUAAGUCAGCGGUGAAAUGCUCCCGCUCAACGGGGGGAAGUGCCAUUGCUACUGCCUUGCUGGACUGCGGCUGCCGUGGGCGGACUGUGUGGUGUAGCGGU
This 347-nucleotide ribosomal RNA is filed under the name uncultured bacterium. RNAcentral describes it as "partial 16S ribosomal RNA". It matches the Rfam family "Bacterial small subunit ribosomal RNA", at positions 338 to 682 of the family's 1533-position model. The record is from RNAcentral.